Mus musculus (house mouse) is the source of this 6334-nucleotide long non-coding RNA. RefSeq annotates it as RIKEN cDNA 1700041B01 gene. NCBI's taxonomy places the organism in Eukaryota, Metazoa, Chordata, Mammalia, Rodentia, Muridae. The record is from RefSeq and is a predicted model, not a curated record. The transcript is spliced from 3 exons.
ACCCCUGAGACCACAACUUUGGAAGGAGUAGCAGAUGAAUGGGGGCGGAGCCCAGAGGAGCAGCUGGAGGCGGGGCCAGCACUGGGCCAGGAAGCUGGGAGACAGAGCUGUAACCUGUUGGGCUCAGACCUUCAAGCAGUUCCCACAGGAACCAGGAGCGCAACACUGAGGGAUGCUAAGCGAGAUGGAGACAGGAAGAAGCCCAUCUGUUCCUGCAAGACUCCAGAAACUGCGAAGGCCCUAGACAGUUGCAUUCCAGCAAGGACACAGGAUGGUCAGAGAAAUCCACAUUUGUCCCGGAAAGCCAGAACAGUGUCCACAAGAGCCACCGCCACCGCCACCUCCUGCUCCUCCCCCAGGGAGACUCUAGGAAAGAGAGCACUUUGAAAAAAAAAAUGUCUAGACUUUGUGUUAAAGUGAAGCCAAUUUAAAGCUGUGAGCAGCAGAGGAGAAGGGAGGGAGGCAUGAGAAGGCACCCAGAGGAGGCUCCGGUGGCAAUGCCAGCUGAACAGCCAACUGAGAAGGUCCAACUUGGGUCAAAGGCUGGCUUUGUAGCAGGCUGGGAACCUUGAAGGCCACCCUGACACACCUUUCUCCCCACUGUGGGGCCAAGUGUGGGAGUCACAAGGUCCUCAUUCAUACCACAUAACGCUCUCAUAGCCAAAGACUUUGGCUCCUGUGACACACAGCCUCAGUUUCCCACCAGCAGUCAGAUCCUCUUGGUAGGGGCUGAGUCCUCUCAGAUGCUGUCUGGAGAAGCAGGAGCCCUCGCUCGGUCUGUAAUGCAGUGCCUCCCUCCUCAGUCUGUGGACCACACUGGUGUGCAGGUGCACACACAGGUGUGCAGCUGACUCGGUGCGCAGACCCAAGGGCUCUGAUGGAUACACUGAGCGAACGAGCGAGCGAGCGAGCGUGCAGGCUGGCACAUAUGCAGGAGUAUGUGUGGGUGCACAGGACAUGUUCAGGGAUGGUCCACCCCAGGGACACAUGCUGGGGUUGUGUUCAAUGGUGGCAAGCAAUCAUGUCCGUGGCCUUGGAAAUGCAGCCAAUUACUCCCCCUUUAUGCCACUUAAGCACAUGUAUGUUGCUCAUACAUGUGUGUGCGUGCAUGCUUACAAAGCUUCAGCCAUACACAGAGUCCCUCCCCCUGCUCAGAUCCAAGCUAAAACAAUACCACUUUAUGCAGAACCAGGUCCUCUGCCCAUAGUUGGGGAAAGCCCAGGUGAGGUGGGGCAUAAGAAGAGGCCAGGGGAGGGGCUGAAAAGGGCUCUGGCUUGGAGAGGUGCUGGUUCCCCCUGGCUUCCAUCCUUUCCAAUCAGGCCAGGGUAGACAGAAUGCCCCAUAGCUCCUCCCAAGCCCUCAAGGUCACCCUGAGGUGGCCCUGCUCCUCUGCUCCCCAGGAUGGUUUGGGCUGGGGCCCAGUGCCUACUCUCCCCGUGACGGUGACGUGACGGAUUCAUGGUGGGGAGGAGGCUCCCGGCACCAUGUCCCGUAUGCGUCAGUUGCCCUGUUCUUAGCCUGGGCUGUCUGCCCACCACCCGUUGAGGCCUGGUGCAUCCAGGGAGAGGACAAGGCCACAAAGGCGCUGACAGCAGCACUUGGAUCCCUGCCCAGCUGCUCACCAGAUGGAGGUGCAGGUGUGCAGGGGAUGGGUGUGAGGGUCUUGGGGUCAAAUGUACAAGGUCAUUCUCCCCUGCUCCCAGGAGGGUGCUCCUCAAGCACGGCAUACCUGGGAGGACGGAGAAAGGAAGCUAUAGUGACAGCAGGGCAUGGAGACAAUUGGGGAGCACAUCUAACAGGACCGACCACAGGGAGGGAGCACAGAGAUAAAUGGGGAGCACAUCCAACAGAGGAUGACCAUAGGGAGCACAUAGAUAAAUGGGGAGCACAUCCAACAGAGGACUGACCACAGGGAGGGAGCACAGAGAUAAGUGGGGAGAACAUCCAACAGAGGAUGACCAUAGGGAGCACAGAGAUAAGUGGGGAGCACAUCCAAUAGGAUGACUGACCACAGGGAGGGAGGUGACAGGCGUGAGUAUGACAGUGUGACACAGGUACCUGCUGCCAGGGAGACAGAGGCUGAGAUCAGCUAAGCCCCAAACACAUCUAAGAGCAUGUCAGGAGGAAAGAAGUGUGAAAGCAGCUGCCCAGAGCCAGAUCAUGGCAGUGCUGAGCCCCAGGGCAAGCUUAGGAGGCGUGCAGCAGCAAAGACAAAGCCAGCACAGGCAGGGAACACGGUUCAGAGCUGUGCAGCGUUGGCAAAGAGUAGUCUAGCCAGCUACAGGCUGUGUGAGGUCCCUUCCCGUGAGUCCUUGGAAGAAGAGUGGACAACCAGUGGGCACUGGGGUGGGGGUGGGGGUGUAGGUCAGAGCUGGAGAGAGACUGCCUGAGCCACCUGGUGAUGUUCUUCUGUCUCAGGCUUGGCUUCCACAGCCAGGUUGACCCAGCUGGCCACAGUUUCCCUUCAGAAUCCUGGCAUCCGCCAUGUGAGCAGGUGAACCCUGGCUCAGUAGGAUUCCCAUUUUCUCACAGGGAAGCUGGGGCCAGGACAAAAGAGGGAAUGUGGUCCAGGUCAGAGUCGGGACCCAGGGUGUCAAACCCCAGGCCUCGGUGGGGUCCUCUGCUCCCUGCAGUGCAACGCUGGCCUGAGCCCUCGUUCCCAUACACAGAAGCUCAGUGGAUGUACCCCACAGGCACGGCAGGGGCAACAGCGGGUUCCCACAGGACAGCAGUCCAGGCCUAGCGGUGCACUUGGUAUGGUUUCUACCGUGACACCACAGCCUGUGGUGAAUGAGAAUGGCCCACUCUGAGACUCUUGGUGAGCCUCAGGCUUUCUCUGAGCCUCAGUUUCCCCUCUUAUGUGGCAAGAUGACUGGCACCAUGGACUUCCAGGAACCUCUGGGCCACAGCAGAGCACACUUGUCCUAUAGAGCGAUGAUUUUCUCAUCUGUGCUGACCCCAGGCUUCCCGCUCCCAGGGGGGCACUGCUCAGCUGGGGGAGGGGGGCAGACAGGGAAAGGACGUGGAAACAUGGCUGGUACCCUGACCACCCAUUAGAGAUGGAGGAAUCAGCAAGGAAGCACUGACGGCAGCUCGGCCCUGGCACACACUCCUCACAGGGCCAGGCUGCUCAAAGUCACCUGUCACCUAAACGGGACAGACGCCUCAGGCCCAGCCAGAGCUCACGAACCUUCAGCAACCUCACCACGCCUUUCUAGAACCUAGCACUGGGCCAUCGGGCCACUACCAUCCUUCCACCUUCCGGGGCCAAGGCUCGGGCCUCAGGGCGGGGCUCUAGGGCUUACUGCUGCCUUCUCCUUACAGAAGCUUCUAAGGCAAAGGGCCCUGGAUCUCUGCUUCUCCUCUAUGAAGCUGGGAAAUUGUGACACCGAAAGCAAGUUGAUAGCAGGAUCGCAAGUGUGAUGAGCCCUGGGGGGAGGCAGAGGAAAGUGCAGGCACUGGAGGUAAGGGGCUCUGGGGUCAAACGCAGAGCUGUGUGACACAGGCGGGCUCAUCACCUUCUCUGGGCUACAGUCUCCUUGCCCAGAGGUGCCUUUCCAAUGGCUCAGGCGAUUCUGACAUAUCCUUGGACGUCAACCCUGUGUGGCUCAGGCUCCAGUUAACAGAUGAGAAGAUUGCAAGUGCUAGACUCAAGGCAGCAGGGCAUACACUGACCCUCUUGUGAGUUUCCUCCCUCAGUGUACCCCUGCCUGACAGAAGGAGCUCACCCCAGCCCCUGGGAAGCUAGCUUCUCUGUCAUUCAAGAAAUUCUCAGCUGAGACCAGGUGUGGGCCUCAACCCCAGGACCUUUGCACAGGAUUCUGCCUUCUCAGCACACCCACUGCCUCACCUCAGUCAAGGCUCUGCUAAACUGCUCCCCACGUUACCCCCUUCUUUGUCACCAAGCCUGAGAGGACCCCCUUGUCGCUCAAGCUAGCUGUGGUCCCCUCACUGUGCUCAACUGUGACACCAGGUUCUCGGCUGCCACCCACUCCCCUACACCACCAAUCCAGCACAGCACACAGCAGUGUGUCUCUAUGUUGUUUGCUGGUGUAACCCCCAUGCUUGCCGCAGCAGGCCCCAAUACACCAGUGCUGGGCCGCUGUGUGCGGGAGAGAUGGGGGAUAACGGCAGGAAGAGAGGCUGAAACCCAUGAAAUCCUCAGGGCCAGGGUGUCAGAGGUAGAACUCACCACCAAUGAGGGUUCGAGAUGUGUCAGGGAAUGCCCUAAGCCUCCUGGCCUUGUCAACCCCUUACACUGCUCAUUUCAGACAGAGAGACAGAGGUUCAGAGAGGAAUAGCAGUACGCCCAAGGUCACAUAGCCAGGAACCUCAGCCAGCCUGAGUCUUGCUAGGGUCUCUGCAGGGACUGCUUCCCACACUUGCAUCUACUACAAGCCUGCUGCUUGCUGCAUCCUCUUCGUCCCUCCCCCCACCCCCCAACCAUGAUGUCAGCUUCAUCCUACCCUAGCCUCAGCCACUCCAGGUCUUUCCUACAACUGGGCUACCCGGGACACAGCAUUAAGGCCCAUGUCUGAGGCCUGGCUUCCUCCCUCUGUCAGCACGGCAGGAGCAUUGAGUCAAUGUUGCUCUCACCUUGCCCUAGAUGUCACCCGGGCCCCCGGGACCCCGUGCACACACUUCCCGACACCCUCAGAACGCCCCGGACAGCUGGGGGCCCGCUCUGUCUCUGUCUCACCCGAGGUGCUGGGUUUCAUCCACCCCAUUCCGUCACGUCUCAUUAGUCUCAGCCCAGAAGCCAGCUGCUCCGCAUCCCUGGGGAGCUGGCCUCUGCCCUCUGCCUCGGCACCCACUCUGCGUCACCCCUGGCUGGGAGCAGCUAUAGCUGUGCCACGUCACAGGCCGGAGGGACACGCCAUCCCUCCGGGCACACUCAGGCACCUCACCUCCGACACCCCGUAGGGGCUCCUCGUCUACCUGUUCUGCGCAGUACACACAGCUUGCUCACUCUGAGCUUCAGUGGGCCUCCAGAGAUGAAAAAAAAAAUCCCCUCAACCCUUCCCCACAUAUAUGGAGCCUGGAACUCUUGGCUGGAGACACGGCCAAGAAGGGUCUGCCAUAGGCGAAGCCCUGGAAGAGGAAGAACCUCUGGGGCAACGAGGUCUGGGGAGUGGGUUCCUUGUGCAAGGCCUGCAGUCUGGAGCUUAUUGUCUCUGGGCCUCAAUGUCAUCCGUUUAGAGAGCAGCAGUGUGCAUGGGUCUCAGGCUCUGCCCACUGUGUCCCCCUCCCAGCUCACAGGUCCCCUCUACGUCCCUGCUCCCAAGGCAUCCCAGCAGUAACGACGGCCAGACCUCCAACCAGCUGCAGGCAGGAAGUCAAGGAGCGCCACCAGGCCUUGGGCUUGGCUAGUGCCCAUGUCUGCCAGGGAGGCCCAGCCCUGGUUUGUGAGCAGUUCUGUGAUAGCUAGCCUGGCCCAGCUCCUGCCCGCCCCAGCCCCAGUCAACCUAAGACUCCAGGCACAAGGCCCCUUAGGUGGCUCUGUAGGGAAGUCCGUUCUAACAGUACCCCAGUCCCUUCCUGACUCUUGCAGAAUCCCCCCUGCUCAGGGAGCAGUCUUCCUUCUCCCCCACCCUCACAGGGUCUCUCCUCCCCUGAACCCACCUCCCCUCCUAGGCUCUCCUCCCCACACCUGACCCUGCCCUUUCUCUCCCUGGCCUCUCCCCCACCACCUGUUCUAUCUCCCCUAUCAGGCCUGCUCACUCCCAGCCUGGCCUCUCCUCCCUCCCCCACUUGGCUCAGCGGCAGCCCCUGGGCACUACUCACCGGUCUCCACUGGACCCGCUCUUGCACAGUGCCUGCGCGCGCACGCUGCCUCUGCCUGCAUGGUCUCCAUUCAUUCAUUCAAUAAACAUUUAUGGAACACCUACUAUGUACCAGGCACCGGCUAGGCCCACCCCCUUGGUUCUACCUGCAGUCUGCUCCUCCUCCAGGGUCCCAAGGGUGGGCAUUUUCCUGCCUUCCGAUAUCCUUAGGGUCGUUCCAAGGCAGGGCAGUAUGUCAGGGGACCUCUGGGGAGAAGCGGUGGCUCCGGGUUGGAGCACGCAGCCCACUGGGGUAUCCUGGCCUGUCAGGGGAAUACAUGGGCAGAAAAGGCGGCAACUAGGCCUGGAAGCUUUCCGGGAAGAUGGCUCAUCCCGGGGAAGCAGGCCUGUGAGCCUGUGCUGUUCUGAGCACUGCUUAGCUACGCAGAGGAGAGGACUGGAUCUCCAGCUGCUACGCGGUGGCUGUUUCCUCCUUGGCCUCAGGCUCUGACUCAUGCAACGCCAAGGGACCCUGCUUCAUCUGGACAGUAAUUAAAUUUUGUUUUUAGCUA